GAAAUGCGAUACUUGGUGUGAAUUGCAGAAUCCCGUGAACCAUCGAGUCUUUGAACGCAAGUUGCGCCCGAGGUCACUAGAUCGAGGGCACGUCUGCCUGGGCGUCACACACAGCGUCGUUCCCCACCAAUCUUGUUUGUUGGGCAACGGAGAUUGGCCCCCCGAGUCUUCACAGGCACGGUCGGCAUAAAUAUUGGUCCCCGGCGGCGAGCGUCGUGGUCAACGGUGGUUGUAAAUCUCUUACCCUGAUACACGAUCUCGUUGCAUGUAGGGACGAAUCGACCCUAAGAAGUCGUUUACGACUUUCACCCUGCGACCCCAGGUCAGGCGGGAUUACCCGCUGAGUUUAA
RNAcentral lists this unclassified non-coding RNA (350 nucleotides) under uncultured fungus. RNAcentral's name for it is "sequence contains ITS1". The stretch from base 1 to 107 matches the Rfam family "5.8S ribosomal RNA", at positions 50 to 154 of the family's 154-position model. Lineage: Eukaryota; Fungi. The record is from RNAcentral.